CUGAAAUAUACAUAAUCACAAAAUGUCAGAAAUAUACACGUAGACGUCAAAUAUAUAAAUACCGUAUAUACUAGAGUAUAAGUCGAGACCCCUAAUUUUUCCCCAAAAAACUGGGAAAACUUAUUUACUCGAGUAUAAGACUAGGGUGGGAAAUGCAGCAGCUACUGGUAAAUUUCUAAAUAAAAUUAGAUCCCCCCCCAAAAAAA
This is a non-coding RNA of Pelobates cultripes (western spadefoot toad), 206 nucleotides long. Lineage: Eukaryota; Metazoa; Chordata; Amphibia; Anura; Pelobatidae. The record is from the annotation of a GenBank genome assembly.